AGACCCGAAACCCGGUGAUCUAGCCAUGGGCAGGUUGAAGGUUGGGUAACACUAACUGGAGGACCGAACCGACUAAUGUUGAAAAAUUAGCGGAUGACCUGUGGCUGGGGGUGAAAGGCCAAUCAAACCGGGAGAUAGCUGGUUCUCCCCGAAAGCUAUUUAGGUAGCGCCUCGUGAAUUCAUCUCCGGGGGUAGAGCACUGUUUCGGCUAGGGGGCCAUCCCGGCUUACCAACCCGAUGCAAACUGCGAAUACCGGAGAAUGUUAUCACGGGAGACACACGGCGGGUGCUAACGUCCGUCGUGAAGAGGGAAACAACCCAGACCGCCAGCUAAGGUCCCAAAGUCAUGGUUAAGUGGGAAACGAUGUGGGAAGGCCCAGACAGCCAGGAUGUUGGCUUAGAAGCAGCCAUCAUUUAAAGAAAGCGUAAUAGCUCACUGGUCGAGUCGGCCUGCGCGGAAGAUGUAACGGGGCUAAACCAUGCACCGAAGCUGCGGCAGCGAACGUAUCACCCAAGACAACUUUGCGGAGUUGACGAUUGACGGAGCGAAGCGACGUCAAAGCGUUCAUUAAAGUCGAGUUGGCUUAGGGAUACGUUCGUUGGGUAGGGGAGCGUUCUGUAAGCCUGUGAAGGUGGCCUGUGAGGGUUGCUGGAGGUAUCAGAAGUGCGAAUGCUGACAUAAGUAACGAUAAAGCGGGUGAAAAGCCCGCUCGCCGGAAGACCAAGGGUUCCUGUCCAACGUUAAUCGGGGCAGGGUGAGUCGACCCCUAAGGCGAGGCCGAAAGGCGUAGUCGAUGGGAAACGGGUUAAUAUUCCCGUACUUGGUGUUACUGCGAAGGGGGGACGGAGAAGGCUAUGUUGGCCGGGCGACGGUUGUCCCGGUUUAAGCGUGUAGGUGUGUGUUCCAGGUAAAUCCGGUUCACUUUAACACUGAGGCGUGAUGACGAGGCACUACGGUGCUGAAGCAACAAAUGCCCUGCUUCCAGGAAAAGCCUCUAAGCAUCAGGUAACACGAAAUCGUACCCCAAACCGACACAGGUGGUCAGGUAGAGAAUACCAAGGCGCUUGAGAGAACUCGGGUGAAGGAACUAGGCAAAAUGGUGCCGUAACUUCGGGAGAAGGCACGCUGACACGUAGGUGAAGUGAUUUACUCAUGGAGCUGAAGUCAGUCGAAGAUACCAGCUGGCUGCAACUGUUUAUUAAAAACACAGCACUGUGCAAACACGAAAGUGGACGUAUACGGUGUGACGCCUGCCCGGUGCCGGAAGGUUAAUUGAUGGGGUCAGCGCAAGCGAAGCUCCUGAUCGAAGCCCCGGUAAACGGCGGCCGUAACUAUAACGGUCCUAAGGUAGCGAAAUUCCUUGUCGGGUAAGUUCCGACCUGCACGAAUGGCGUAAUGAUGGCCAGGCUGUCUCCACCCGAGACUCAGUGAAAUUGAACUCGCUGUGAAGAUGCAGUGUACCCGCGGCAAGACGGAAAGACCCCGUGAACCUUUACUAUAGCUUGACACUGAACAUUGAGCCUUGAUGUGUAGGAUAGGUGGGAGGCUUUGAAGUGUGGACGCCAGUCUGCAUGGAGCCGACCUUGAAAUACCACCCUUUAAUGUUUGAUGUUCUAACGUGGACCCGUAAUCCGGGUUGCGGACAGUGUCUGGUGGGUAGUUUGACUGGGGCGGUCUCCUCCUAAAGAGUAACGGAGGAGCACGAAGGUUGGCUAAUCCUGGUCGGACAUCAGGAGGUUAGUGCAAUGGCAUAAGCCAGCUUGACUGCGAGCGUGACGGCGCGAGCAGGUGCGAAAGCAGGUCAUAGUGAUCCGGUGGUUCUGAAUGGAAGGGCCAUCGCUCAACGGAUAAAAGGUACUCCGGGGAUAACAGGCUGAUACCGCCCAAGAGUUCAUAUCGACGGCGGUGUUUGGCACCUCGAUGUCGGCUCAUCACAUCCUGGGGCUGAAGUAGGUCCCAAGGGUAUGGCUGUUCGCCAUUUAAAGUGGUACGCGAGCUGGGUUUAGAACGUCGUGAGACAGUUCGGUCCCUAUCUGCCGUGGGCGCUGGAGAACUGAGGGGGGCUGCUCCUAGUACGAGAGGACCGGAGUGGACGCAUCACUGGUGUUCGGGUUGUCAUGCCAAUGGCACUGCCCGGUAGCUAAAUG
RNAcentral lists this ribosomal RNA (2148 nucleotides) under Salmonella enterica subsp. enterica serovar Adelaide. RNAcentral's name for it is "partial 23S ribosomal RNA". It matches the Rfam family "Bacterial large subunit ribosomal RNA", at positions 711 to 2755 of the family's 2925-position model. Lineage: Bacteria; Pseudomonadati; Pseudomonadota; Gammaproteobacteria; Enterobacterales; Enterobacteriaceae. The record is from RNAcentral.